This 333-nucleotide non-coding RNA is filed under the name Thalassionema frauenfeldii. The record is from RNAcentral. Lineage: Eukaryota; Bacillariophyta; Fragilariophyceae; Thalassionematales; Thalassionemataceae.
CGUACGAACAUGGAACCGUGAGACUGCUUCUCCGUAUGAUUCCCUAUGUAGCCCCCGAAAAGAAGCUUUCAAAGAAGAAAGCAAGGGCAGACUAUCAUCUUUGGCCAAAAGGAACACUACUUUGUGUGAAUGAUUUGCUUCCAGAAAUUCAGCAACGUAGACAACAAUCUCACGACCAUAAUGAAUGGAAGGGUGCAUCCAAAUUGCUUGAUUUGACUCAUUACAUUCGACGAACAGGAAAUAACACUAUCAAAGCUUCCAUACUAGAUCCAGAGGCAUAUUUUGUUAGUGUGGCUGUUUGCAAAUACCACUCUCACGAGCAACUUUAUGCUG